Molecule: long non-coding RNA, 8876 nt
Filed under: Daucus carota (carrot)
Lineage: Eukaryota; Viridiplantae; Streptophyta; Magnoliopsida; Apiales; Apiaceae
Description: long non-coding RNA (DCAR_LNC004752)
Source: RNAcentral
UACAGUGGAGUCUUGAACAAGAGAUAAAGAAAGAGGAGUAUAUCUCACCAUUAACCUACAAAUUGAAGUACAGAUUUUCAAAAUUAAGGGUUUGAUUUGAUGACACGUUUCUUUAAUUCAUACAAUUAAAAUUGGUCACCUAAUGAGACGAUCUAAAGCCACAGUUGGAGCUGAAACCUCUGCAGAAAAGUUAUAAAGAGUUUGCUUUUAAAAGUGCUUUUUCUGAUUUUAUGAUGUUAACGUGGCAAUGUUUGGAGCUCAAUGGCAACAUGUUGUAAAUUUUGUUAAAUUUAGGAGGACAUAAUGGUAAAAAGCUAAUGAAAUAGCCUUCAGGCAAUAUCAUUUAAAGGGAUGAGGUUAAUUAACUGUCGGGUCGGAUUAGAAAAAGAUCCAUAUGAUGAAUGGGUAUUAGCAGGAAUUUAGAAUAUAUUGAAGAAUACUAGCAAUCUUGCCCGUGCUUCGCACACGGGUAAUGAUUAUUUUUUUAAUUUUUAAUCAAUUAUUUGUAAUCUUUGUUAAAUUGUAACACGUGGACAACAAUUAUUAUUCUUUGAACCAUAUUUUAUUAUUCAGCUUAGAUGUUUGACACUAGUUCUGAGCAUCAGUCUUCUAAUUUGAUUCCAAGAAAAAAACAAAUUUCAUGCACAUACGGGAUAUCACACAGAGGACAACUGGUUUUAUGCUUGAGCAAAAUACGGAAACCUGAACAAAACAUAAGUCUAUUCAACUGCCUACACAUUUCAAGAUAAGAACCCAGACUAAUAUACGUACAGUUCCUCGGAUAAUCUUCAAUCACGCAAAUCAAAUAAUCCACACUGGUUACAUUGCUUCCCACAGAACCUGCAGACUUAAUCACUCUAUGAACCAAUGCAUUGAAGUCUCUUUAAUUUAUUAACAGCAACACAGAGGAUCAUCUUAUUUUCAAGCAUGUGCAACACUGUUGUUUAAACUGAUAAGUAGCCAAAAACAAAAUACUUCAUCCAAACACAAAGGCAUGAAUCAAGAUUAGGGAUGCAAACAAAAUACUUCAUCCUGCGUGGGUAAUGUUAGAAUCAAGAUCCACUGGUUCUACAGUCUCCUUAACUUGCACUUUCUUUUCAUUAUCAGUCACCACCGUAUUACUUUCUUCAUCCAUAUUAGCACAUACAUGCAAUAUACAUUAUCAGUCUCCUUAAAGUUAUAAUCGAUGCACAUACAUGCAAUAUACACAGAGAUCAAUUCAUCAGAAUGAGAAAGUUGAAUGCUUCUAUCCAAGAUUUCUGAUGUUGUUUCUGAAUGAUAAAAUGAAUGAUGCUGAUAGGAACAUGUACGUCGAUUCUCCUGUUGUUCCUAUUCAGAGAACUUGUGCUAAGAUCCAGACCAGGCUGGUAAACAAGAAAAAGCAUGACAAUGUGCCACUGGUGGUGACUCCUUUCAUGCUAGAGCAAUUCAGUGUUCCAUUCCAACCUAUUCAAGUUCCUGAACCUCUACAACAGCAACAAUAUCAAGCUCAACAACAGGCUCAUCCAGACAUUCAACCAGAACAACCGCAACAACAAUCACCUCCACAAAACCCUCAACCACUACAACUUCUGCAAGACUAUCAAUCAUCCAGCCAAUCCUCACAUUACUCUCCCUACAACCCUCCUUACAAUUCACCACAUCAAUCACCUCACCAAUCAUAACACCAAUCCCCUCCACAUUACAACUUCUUCCCAGACCAACAAGCCUCCAUUCUUCCCUCUCAAUCUGAACCAACACCUUCACCUACACAUACACAUACCAUUCCUCAACCACAAUCUACCUCUCAGCCACUGCCUGCUGAUUCUGCUAUCAAUCCAGGCCUACAGGACUUCAGGGCUGAUUUACAGGUAGCUCAGGUACUUUCUAAUCUCACUGAUACCUUUAAUAUUGAUAUUGCAGAUUUUGAUUGUGAUAUUGGAUUUGAUUUCCAGACUCCCAGCAUUGAACCUGAAAACACCCAGGUUCAUAUCCAAGCUGACGUUUCCAUUUCAACAACUGAUUCUUCAUCAAACACUUCAAACAACACUACUUCAACCCCUGUUGUUAGAAAGGUAGCCCGGAAACGGAGUGGGAGUGCAAUUUUGAGAGAUCCCGCAGCUCUGUCUCAUAAGAAGCAAAGGGUGGCAGAACCAGAGACAACUGCAGCUGCAUCCAUUUCCACCCAAAAAGAUUUGGACACUGAAAUGGUAAAUAUACAGUCUCUAGAUUCAUUCUCUCCACAGAAUGCAUUUAUUGAAAUUGGCCAUCCGACCGCGGUAUCCUGUAAAGAGUCAAGCACACAACUAGCACUCACGCUAGUAAACACUGAACCUUUGUCUUCUGAUUCUUCACUUAGAGAGAGCACAGAAUUUCAAAACAUGUCAUAUGAAAAAUUUUCUGAUCACUCUUUCUUUUUGGAUCAGGAUCUACUUGGCAACCUGCAAGUACAUCAGCCUUCACAGGCAUCUGAAGGACAGUNNNNNNNNNNNNNNNNNNNNNNNNNNNNNNNNNNNNNNNNNNNNNNNNNNNNNNNNNNNNNNNNNNNNNNNNNNNNNNNNNNNNNNNNNNNNNNNNNNNNNNNNNNNNNNNNNNNNNNNNNNNNNNNNNNNNNNNNNNNNNNNNNNNNNNNNNNNNNNNNNNNNNNNNNNNNNNNNNNNNNNNNNNNNNNNNNNNNNNNNNNNNNNNNNNNNNNNNNNNNNNNNNNNNNNNNNNNNNNNNNNNNNNNNNNNNNNNNNNNNNNNNNNNUAUUUCUGAAUGAUAAGAUGAAUGAAGCUGAUAGGAACAUGUACGUCGAUUCUCCUGUUGUUCCUAUUCAGAGAACUUGUGCUAAGAUCCAGACCAGGCUGGUAAACAAGAAAAAGCAUGACAAUGUGCCACUGGUGGUGACUCCUUUCAUGCUAGAGCAAUUCAGUGUUCCAUUCCAACCUAUUCAAGUUCCUGAACCUCUACAACAGCAACAAUAUCAAGCUCAACAACAGGCUCAUCCAGACAUUCAACCAGAACAACCGCAACAACAAUCACCUCCACAAAACCCUCAACCACUACAACUUCUGCAAGACUAUCAAUCAUCCAGCCAAUCCUCACAUUACUCUCCCUACAACCCUCCUUACAAUUCACCACAUCAAUCACCUCACCAAUCUCAACACCAAUCCCCUCCACAUUACAACUUCUUCCCAGACCAACAAGCCUCCAUCCUUCCCUCUCAAUCUGAACCAACACCUUCACCUACACAUACACAUACCAUUCCUCAACCACAAUCAACCUCUCAGCCACUGCCUGCUGAUUCUGCUAUCAAUCCAGGCCUACAGGACUUCAGGGCUGAUUUACAGGUAGCUCAGGUACUUUCUAAUCUCACUGAUACCUUUAAUAUUGAUAUUGCAGAUUUUGAUUGUGAUAUUGGAUUUGAUUUCCAGACUCCCAGCAUUGAACCUGUAAACACCCAGGUUCAUAUCCAAGCUGACGUUUCCAUUUCAACAACUGAUUCUUCAUCAAACACUUCAAACAACACUACUUCAACCCCUGUUGUUAGAAAGGUAGCCCGGAAACGGAGUGGGAGUGCAAUUUUGAGAGAUCCCGCAGCUCUGUCUCAUAAGAAGCAAAGGGUGGCAGAACCAGAGACAACUGCAGCUGCAUCCAUUUCCUCCCAAAAGGAUUUGGACACUGAAACGGUAAAUAUACAGUCUCUAGAUUCAUUCUCUCCACAGAAUGCAUUUAUUGAAAUUGGCCGUCCGACCGCGGUAUCCUGUAAAGAGUCAAGCACACAACUAGCACUCACGCUAGUAAACACUGAACCUGUGUCUUUUGAUUCUUCACUUAGAGAGAGCACAGAAUUUCAAAACAUGUUAUAUGAAAAUCUUUCUGAUCACUCUUUCUUUUUGGAUCAGGAUCUACUUGGCAACCUGCAAGUACAUCCGCCUUCACAGGCAUUCGGAGGACAAUUUGUUUCUUCACCUCCUACAGUUCCAUCUCAGGGAACUAUGGUUGUAUAUACAGGUACUGGUGACGGUGUGACAAACACGAGUGAAAUCAGGCAAACACCGAGCGAAACACAUGCACGAGAGGAUAGUGAAAAAUCUUUGAGUGUUCGUGAGGUGAGUGCACACACCAACACAGAUCUGUUACAGGAACAAAUGGCUGCUCUGAAAGCUGAGAUAGAAAGGUUGAAUGCUGAGAAUGCCAGAUUCAGAAGUGGAGAGCUGGUGACUCUGCAAGAGAAAGUUGUUGAUCCCUCCUUUACUUCUCUGAAAAAGGAAUUGGAUGAUCAUGUAAAGCGCAUUCAUUCUAGGAUGGACAAAUUUGAUAAGACUCAGGAGCUCUGUCUGACAAAGCUUGACAACUUGGAGCAAACUCUGGCUCAAGUUGUUCAACACUUAAAGAUUAAUCCGUCGACAUCUCAGUCUACUCCAGAGGAUCCCUCAACUAAGGGGGAGAAGGAUAAGGAUGAUAAGGAUGACAAAGAUGAUCACAGCAAUGCUGAUGCUGCUGAUAGGAGUAAUAAGGAUGGAGAUACUGAUAGGAGUGAUAAGGCUGAUAGGAGUGAUAAGGGUGGAGAUGGAGCAAGUGAAAAGGAUUCUUCUGCAGCUGACAAGUCUAAAGGCAAAAUGCCUGAAUCUGAGAACAUCUUCACUAAUCAGGAUUAUGACAACAUUCCUGAAGAUGUUGAUGAUGAUGAUGCAUUUGAUUCUGCUAAUCUAUAUCACAUUCUAAUUGUAAAUACAAAGCAUAUUCCAAUAAAAACCUAAAUUAAUAUCAAUUAAGAUAAGCUAUAUCAUGUUUUAAUUGAAAGACUGUUAUAUAGUUUUUCAUGCCCUGUCUGAAAGGCAUAUGUUCAGCCUAUUUGUAUUUAAAGAGGUACAACUCAACUCAGAUAAGAAAGCUCAGUAAAUAGCAAGUCAUCGGAAUCCGUACGAAGAACGUCAAAUGAUUUAUGGGAAUUAUAUGUCAGAUAAAUUCCAGGAUGCUGCUGCACACCACUGAAAGAAGUUCAUUAAUAUGUUCAAGCCUCAGUGCACAAAUAAUCUUUUGUGGCACGUCCAGUGUGACAGCCCUCAAAUCCGGGGGUCUGGAUUUGUUGCCACUAAAACAAAAAUCAUUUAAAAACCUGUAUUUGUGGAAAAAAGUAAAAUAGAUAUUUGAAAAUCUGAACACUUUAAGAGAUUUUUAAAUCAAAAUCACUUUGACCCCCUAAAAACAGGAUCGCUAAUAGGUUAGAGCAUUGAAAUCAGAACCAAAACUUACAAUCUUAUUACAACUUAAACUACAUUAUCAGUUAAACUCGAUAAGAAGAGUAACUGAUAACCAAAUAAAUAAAUAUAUUUACAACUAAACUGAAAUGAAACAAUUCUAACCAGAACUACUCUUGUAAACAUCUCCCUGGCAAUCUCGCCUAGCAUCAAUCUUACGCGCAGCUUACACAAGUGAUCAUCUUAAUCCCUAGCUGAAAGGGUUAGAAAAAAAUAGCAAGGGUGAGCGAAAAUGCUCAGCAAAGUAAUAUGAAAGGCAAGAGCCACAAGAUAUGAUUUCUUUUUAAUUAAAUUAGAGUAUUUGAAAUAAAGCAAACUUUUGAAGUAAAUCAUAACAGUUGUGUAACUCAAAAUUUUAUCAAACAUAUAAAUCCAUAUGCUUGUAAAUUCACAGAAUAUAUUUGACAGUAAACAAAAGCUAUCACAAGCUUAAACAAUAAUGACCAGGUUUUAAACAACGGCGUACUAUCACAGCUGAUCAGACCAUGUGAUAAUACCGGGCAUGUUUCGUGGAAACAUGCCUCAAAAUAGGUACCAAUACAAGGCAACACAUUUGCCUUUGUCAGAAAAGUAUUAUAAACUUUCAAUAAUACCCAAAUAGCCCUCCGCUGGACCGCCGUCUCGGUCUCUUACGCAAAAACAAAGAAAUCUUCCGAUUUCUUCCAGAAGAAGAUGACUAAUCAUCUAUUUUGAAAACAAUAUUUUGCUGGUCUAUCUGGCUGGAGUAUUAAAUAGCCCCUUAUGCCAUAAAAUCAUCUUUCAAAACCUUUCUGAAAACUCUUUGUUUUCAAAUUCAAAAUACUGUCAAAAAUCAAAUUUUAUCAAAGUCUGAGUACAAUUUAAAAAUCCACCGUAAUACGGCUCAAAGGAAAAACAAAGCUAUUUAGUUAUUUAAAAUCCAGGGUUUAUGUCUGGGACAGAAGACCAGGCAUAUAUUGUAAUGUCGAAAUAUGACUGCUAUAGAGUCAUCAAUAGUUUUCAAACUGUAAAAGAACUCAGACAAUAAUUUCCAGAAAACUGAUUAAAAUAAUCUGAAAACUUUUCAAAUAAAGUUGUCACUAUUCAUAUACUAAAGACAUUCGAUAUUUUCAAUCACAGGAUAACACAUGAAAGCAUUUGCACUUUUAAAUAUCAGAAAUCGAUAAUCAUGCUUGCAGGAAGUACAAGUCAUAAAUAUAAAACUUGUAUUAUCAAAAGAGAAUUGAAAUAAUCGCUCUUUAAAUAAAAGAGAAGAAUAGGAAUACUUGCCUUUGACACAAAACAGGUGACACACAGUCACACUACUCAAAUCCUAGGAUGGCCUCAAUUGCUAACUUUGCAAUCACUACACUCUAUUGGCCUAUCUCACGGCACAAUAUCGCCUUAUCAAACUAUUUCCGACUUGGCUUGCAACAAUUCGCUUGCUUCUGAAAGUCGUUGAAUGCACGCGUCUCGAUAGACUAUAUAUAAAACAAUAUAAUAUUCAGUCGAAGAACAAUCCCGAGUGUCGGCUAAUUCGCAGAAUCGAAAUUAUAUUAAUACCCUUCGCAAUAUAAACAUAUACAAAUAAUAUAAACACAUAAUAGCGGAAAGUUAAAUAAGUAAUCACAUAACACGUAAUUUACAUGCUUUAAUAUUCAUAAAAAUAUAAUCUAAUAACUCCUGUAUAUAAUCUCAUACUUGAUUAUAUACAAACGCUAAUAGCCUCAAUAAUACAUCCCUGGAUAAAAUCAAAAUCCGAAUUACAAGCCCAACUGUAAUUCAGUCACAUCUCAAAUAAUCUUAGAAUCUCAUCAAACUAAAUUAAUAAAAUUAUAUAAUUUUGGACAUCAUGUACCUUAAAAUUGAGCAAAUCCCAAAUCAAUAACACAACAUUCUAUGUCCAAAUAAUAUAAUUUAUUCCGCUAUUUCAAUUAAAUAUACAAUUAAUCCUCAUAGCAGAAAAAAAAAAUUCUUGAAAUAAAAAUAAUUCCUCAAACCAAAGAAUCAAUCCUCAACAUAUCAAUUUAAUCCUCAGAAUAACCAAUCAUUCUUCUUUAUAAAGUGGACUAUCCCGGGGUCGCAGCUCUUCAAAAAUCAACAAUAAAAUCUCAAUUCAACUCUCUAUUUUCUGGUAGUCUUCAAAAUUCCAUAACUUAACAUCUUCACAUAAAACCUUUUUCCAUUUUAACCUCUGACAUAGUGUCUUGCUAUCCUUAAAAUUUCAGCUUAAACCGGUUAGAAUAGCUAGGUCAAAUACUCGCUCAAAGAUGGUACUCAAAAUUAUCUCAACAAGGCAAAACAGGAUUUUUAUCAUUGUCACAGCCACACUCCAAAAUUCACUAUAAAUCGUAGGUUAACUAUUUUGACAUGAAACCACCUCUGGGAUCUUCUAUACUCAGUACACUAUCAUCCCUCAAAAUUUCAAUUUGAAUUAAAGUGUUUAGCUAGGUGAAACAUUGCUCCAAAGUUCAGUGUUCAGUAAAUUCGUAGGUUAUUAACAACCCAUACUAAAACUGCCAUAACUCAUAGCUCGUUACUCCGAUUCACUCAAAAUCAGCGCCCAAGUAAACUAGAAAUCAUACACUACAACUUUCAGUAAGUAGUCGAUCAUCCAAUCACAAUAAAACUGCUCCGAAACACUGCUCCAAAAACAGGACAGCGACUGAAUUUAAAAGUUUAUACCUUUGAUUGUUAAUGUUGCAACCUCUGUUUACAAACCAACUCUCGCCAUACUCCUCUGUACCAUUUGUAAUCUUCAUCAGCCUAUAACCUCCUGCAACACUCCAUCUUCCAAGUCUGUCUCCAAUUAAAACCUCGUCACCCCGGCACCUCCAUGGGCCACCCUCCUUCAGCACUGCCAUAGCUGUGAUCAUCUCCCUAAUGUCGCCCCAAUUAUACACAGUCACACAAGAUGAACACACACACAACUGAAACCUCUCCCUCUCCUCAUCUGAACAGACCCAUAUGCACAAAUAUCCGCGACAACAGCCACCGUCUGAAAACAACCUCGCCGCCUCCGACUACACCUUCCAACCAUCAUCUUAUCUACUGGCGGCAUCCCGCCGCCUCUCCAACCACCAGUAGCCAAACUCCACCUCCCCUGUAUUGGAAUUAUCACAGCCACCCAAAACCAAUCGCCUCCAUCUCCACUGUCUAAUCAACACCAUCAACGGCCCCUUUAUCCUUGUUUUCAAACCCCCAAUCAACCACUACACCUCCACAUACAAGCAACCCCACAUACUCUGUUUAUCUCACAGGCAUAGCUGCCACUUUGAUUCAACAGACUCACCACAAAACUCUCAACCACCGCCAAACUUCCACCUUUUACGCGACGCCACCGCGUCCUACCCUCUCUGUGCUGACGACGCAGCCUCGGUGAACGCCCAACCAUCAUUCACAACCCCGCUCCACCAUUGAUUCAAGACAAAAUCUCCCAACCCCGGCAAAUACACAAAAAUUAUACACAGAGAUAUACAUAUAUAUACACAACACCCUCACCCGAUUGAAGCUUGAAAUCAGAUGGAAAGGAGAUAACAAAUCAAAACCCUAAUUUUGCUAUGCUUUUGCUCGCACAAAACCACCGCCUUUUGUUUCUGAGUACAAGUCUCUGUAUGUUUUUCUGUUUUUAGUCCUUAUCCGGUUAUAUCGUGAAUCACAGCUACGUUUCAGCCACGUCCCAGCUACGUCUCG